This 252-nucleotide ribosomal RNA is filed under the name uncultured bacterium. Its description in RNAcentral is "partial 16S ribosomal RNA". It matches the Rfam family "Bacterial small subunit ribosomal RNA", at positions 526 to 779 of the family's 1533-position model. The record is from RNAcentral.
CAGAGGUCUCAAGCGUUGUUCGGAUUCAUUGGGCGUAAGGGUGCGUAGGUGGCGAGGUAAGUCUGGUGUGAAAUCCCGGGGCUCAACCCCGGAACUGCACUGGAUACUGCCCUGCUUGAGUACUGGAGAGGAGAUUGGAAUUUACGGUGUAGCAGUGAAAUGCGUAGAUAUCGUAAGGAAGACCAGUGGCGAAGGCGAAUCUCUGGACAGUUACUGACACUGAGGCACGAAGGCCAGGGAGCAAACGGGAUU